UGGGCGUAAAGCGCGCGUAGGCGGAUUAGAAAGUUGGGGGUGAAAUCCCGGGGCUCAACCUCGGAACUGCCUCCAAAACUGCUAGUCUAGAGUUCGAGAGAGGUGAGUGGAAUUCCGAGUGUAGAGGUGAAAUUCGUAGAUAUUCGGAGGAACACCAGUGGCGAAGGCGGCUCACUGGCUCGAUACUGACGCUGAGGUGCGAAAGUGUGGGGAGCAAACAGGAUUAGAUACCCUGGUAGUCCACACCGUAAACGAUGAAUGCCAGUCGUCGGGUAGUAUACUAUUCAGGUGACACACCUAACGGAUUAAGCAUUCCGCCUGGGGAGUACGGUCGCAAGAUUAAAACUCAAAGGAAUUGACGGGGGCCCGCACAAGCGGUGGA
Molecule: ribosomal RNA, 382 nt
Filed under: uncultured bacterium
Lineage: Bacteria
Description: bacterial SSU rRNA
Rfam family: Bacterial small subunit ribosomal RNA
Source: RNAcentral